Molecule: microRNA precursor, 137 nt
Filed under: Picea abies (Norway spruce)
Lineage: Eukaryota; Viridiplantae; Streptophyta; Pinopsida; Pinales; Pinaceae
Description: miR11551b stem-loop (pab-MIR11551b)
Source: miRBase by way of RNAcentral
UUUUGGGUAGAGGAUUUUGGUAUCGAUUGCGAGGAAAAGCAAAUCAUGCUCCUGCUGAUAAAUUCAAUGAUCAAGAUUUCAGUAACAGCAUGUUUUGUUUUUCCUCCGCAAUUGAUACUGACAUAUCCUGCCGAGGA